AAGGAUCAUUAACGAAUAUAAUUCGAGGGGUUGUCGCUGGCCUCGCUCGCGCGAGGCAUGUGCACGCUUCUCGUUUUUCUCUCAACUCACCUGUGCACCUAAUGUAGGAUGCCUCUCCUCCGGGAGGGGGGACCUAUGUCUUCGUAACAUCUUCGUGUAGAAAGUCUUUGAAUGUUUACUAUCAUCGAGUCGCGACUUCUAGGAGACGCGAUUCUUUGAGAUAAAAGUUAUUACAACUUUCAGCAACGGAUCUCUUGGCUCUCGCAUCGAUGAAGAACGCAGCGAAAAGCGAUAUGUAAUGUGAAUUGCAGAUCUACAGUGAAUCAUCGAAUCUUUGAACGCACCUUGCGCUCCUCGGUGUUCCGAGGAGCAUGCCUGUUUGAGUGUCAGUAAAUUCUCAACCCCUCUCGAUUAGCUUCGAGAGGGCGCUUGGAUAGUGGAGGUUGCCGGAGACUUGGAUUCGUCCGAGACUCGGGCUCUUCUGAAAUGCAUCGGCUUGCGGUCGACUUUCGACUAUGNGCGACAAGGCUUUCGGCGUGAUAAUGAUCGCCGUUCGCUGAAGCGCAUGACNGAACGUCCCGUGCCUCUAAUACGUCGACCGCUUAUUAUCUCUCCGGAGAGAACGGGGUCUUCCUAAUUGACUUUUGACCUCAAAUCAGGUAGGACUACCCGCUGAACUUAA
This 682-nucleotide ribosomal RNA is filed under the name Rhizopogon fallax. Its description in RNAcentral is "eukaryotic LSU rRNA". The stretch from base 235 to 389 matches the Rfam family "5.8S ribosomal RNA". The record is from RNAcentral. Lineage: Eukaryota; Fungi; Basidiomycota; Agaricomycetes; Boletales; Rhizopogonaceae.